RNAcentral lists this long non-coding RNA (245 nucleotides) under Elaeis guineensis (African oil palm). Its description in RNAcentral is "long non-coding RNA (EGUI_LNC019865)". The record is from RNAcentral. Lineage: Eukaryota; Viridiplantae; Streptophyta; Magnoliopsida; Arecales; Arecaceae.
GGUGCUUCGUAAAGUAAUAGGUGAGAUGCAUAAAUAAGCAACUCGACUCACUGGCGACAUAUUUUGGGUUCAGUAUAUUGAACGAUGUCAGAUUCUUCAUCAAGCAAUGGAUGCCGAUUAUCUUGUUGUUAUCAUACCAGGAAGUGUGAUUUAUGAUUUGAUAAGCAUGUUAAUUAGCUGUGGUUUUAAACUGCACAUUUUCAUUGUUUAUGUUAGUUUCAAUUGGAUGCAUUUGCAUGGUAUUG